CAGGUCGGUGCUGAGCUGGUGCCAGGGGAGAAGUGCUCUGCAGGUGCCAGGGCAGGGGACAGAGGGGACAAAAAGGACAGAGGUUCCUUCUCUGUGCCCAGAGAGCCCAGGACACCCCUAGGGCUGGGUCUGGUCGGUGCCAAGGUGGUGCCAGGGCAGGAGGACACUGCAGGUGACAGAGGGGACAGAAGUUCCCUCUCCGUGCCCAGAGAGCCCAGGACACCCGCGGGGCUGGGUCAGGUUGGUGCCAGGACAGGAGGGCACUGCAGGUGCCAGGGCAGGACCCGUGCCCAGGGCGGAGCUGGUUUGUCCUGCAGGGCCACAGGAAGCCACAAACCCAUCGCCCCUGAGCGCCCUAAUGAGGCUGCGUUAAUUAGAGCAGCUAAUGGGCUGCUCCGGCCUCUGUGGAGCCGCUUUUGUAAUCCCUCGCCUUGUUUUGCAGCGGCUGCGGGAAAUAAGGGAAAAAACCCACGUGGCUUAGCCAAGGGAAGAAAGAGAGAAAGAAAGAAAGAGAGAGAGAGAGAGAGAGAGAGAGAGAGAAAGAAAGAAAGAAAGAAAGAAAGAAAGAAAGAAAAAGAAAGAAAAAGAAAGAAAGAAAGAAAGAAAGAAAGAAAGAAAGAAAGAAAGAAAGAAAGAAAGAAAGAAAGAAAGAAAGAAAGAAAGAAAGAAAGAAAGAAAGAAAGAAAGAAAGAAAGAAAGAAAGAAAGAAAGAAAGAAAGAAAGAAAGAAAGAGAAAAAAAGAAAAAGAAAGAUAUUUUUAUCCAAUUCAAGGCACUGACCCUGUAGAAACGAGGACUGGUGAUGUGAAACUGCAAAUAUAUAAUCAGCACUCGAACAGCCCCAUUCAUCUCCAGGAGAAGUCUCUGACACACAGUGUGGGAAACACUAAAAAAAAAAUUAUUUUCUAUUUUUGCUCACAAAUGAGGGGGAAAAAUUAAAGGAAAUCUGGGUUUGGUAUUUACUUCUUUUGAGCAAAAAAAUAUUUUCUCUUAAAAUUUUUACAUUCUUUAUAUAAUGAGGGAAAUACUGCUC
Molecule: long non-coding RNA, 1032 nt
Filed under: Ficedula albicollis (Collared flycatcher)
Lineage: Eukaryota; Metazoa; Chordata; Aves; Passeriformes; Muscicapidae
Description: lncRNA (ENSFALG00000028776.1)
Source: RNAcentral